Molecule: ribosomal RNA, 587 nt
Filed under: uncultured bacterium
Lineage: Bacteria
Description: bacterial SSU rRNA
Rfam family: Bacterial small subunit ribosomal RNA
Source: RNAcentral
CCUACGGGAGGCAGCAGUGGGGAAUUUUGGACAAUGGGCGCAAGCCUGAUCCAGCCAUGCCGCGUGCGGGAAGAAGGCCUUCGGGUUGUAAAGCACUUUUGUUGGGGAAGAAAAGAUUCGGGUUAAUAACCUGGGUUCAUGACGGUACCCAAAGAAUAAGCACCGGCUAACUUCGUGCCAGCAGCCGCGGUAAUACGAAGGGUGCAAGCGUUACUCGGAAUUACUGGGCGUAAAGCGUGCGUAGGCGGUUUGUUAAGUCUGUCGUGAAAGCCCCGGGCUCAACCUGGGAAUGACGAUGGAUACUGGCAGGCUAGAGUACGGUAGAGGAUGGUGGAAUUCCCGGUGUAGCAGUGAAAUGCGUAGAGAUCGGGAGGAACAUCUAUGGCGAAGGCAGCCAUCUGGACCAGUACUGACGCUGAGGCACGAAAGCGUGGGGAGCAAACAGGAUUAGAUACCCUGGUAGUCCACGCCCUAAACGAUGCGAACUGGACGUUGGGCUCAAUUGAGAGCUCAGUGUCGAAGCUAACGCGUUAAGUUCGCCGCCUGGGGAGUACGGUCGCAAGACUGAAACUCAAAGGAAUUGACGG